RNAcentral lists this long non-coding RNA (362 nucleotides) under Gallus gallus (chicken). RNAcentral describes it as "lncRNA (ENSGALG00010029876.1)". The record is from RNAcentral. Lineage: Eukaryota; Metazoa; Chordata; Aves; Galliformes; Phasianidae.
CUGGAAAGGCAUAUUCCUCAGCUUCCUACGGGCCGGCGGUGUGAAGGCCUACGGAGCCACGAGGUCUGCGUGCGGCCCAGGAGCGGCCUGCAGGGUUUGGAAACCCACAGCAGCGGGUCAGACCCGAGGAAAGAAACUGCAAUUGUGGAGAGCACCAGAUGUAAGCCUACGGAAUGGAGAAGUAUUUUUGUGUUUUGUGGGUUCGGGGGGGAUUUUUUUUUUUUCUCCUUCUUUUUUUGUUGUUGCUUGUUUGCUUGAUUCUUCUUUUUUUAGUCAAUCCAGAGGACUGACUCAGGGCCUCUCCUUCUCCACAGGCAGAACAGAAGUCUCUGCUGGUUUGCUUGUUGCAAAAGGCCCCCGCU